Molecule: long non-coding RNA, 504 nt
Filed under: Mytilus galloprovincialis (Mediterranean mussel)
Lineage: Eukaryota; Metazoa; Mollusca; Bivalvia; Mytilida; Mytilidae
Source: RNAcentral
GCAGUCCAUAAUAUUUUCUAAACAAUAAAUAAAGCAUCUACUCAAUUUUGAAAUCGUGGGAAAUAUAGUAAUAAUCUAUCUAGUAGGGAAAGAUAUGUAAAAAUAAUAAUAAUAAAACCUGCUAUAUGUUAUCUGACCUUGGCCGGGAAACUACGGGAGACCAUAGAAUGUAGUGUAGGUUAUACUAGCCUCGAUCAUAAUUUUCUAUUUGCAUUUGUUUUUCUUUUUCGUGUUUUUGCCAUGCUGAAGUCUGCUUGUCUUCAUUUUAUAAGUUUUUAAUGUUCCUUUGGUUUCUCACGCCUAUUUUGUUUGCAAUUGUUUGGACAUAACCCUCUCCCUUAUUGUAGUUUUGGAAUACUUUUAAACAUUAUAGCCAAUUGUUACUCAUUUAGGCAUCUGUAUAUGUAGGAUAGGGUGUUUUAACUGUUUCUAAUACAUGUUUUGUUUUCAAAACUUUCCCCCCUUUUCUCUGUUUGCAGUAAUGUUUACUUCUGUAAAGCAAAG